UCCGGCGUUAUUCUGGGCAGCCGCGGAUGCUGGCUCAAGAGCAACGACAAGGCGUUGGCAUCAAUUGGGCUCAAUAUCACACGGAAGAUGAAAGAACACCUGAGCUGGUUGACGUUUGAAAACACCAUCCGAAUUUAUAACUCAUUCAUGAAGAACUGAGGUUUUUGUUUUCUUUUACCUUUUACCAUUUUUUAUUGUUACAUUGUUGUUAUUUGCUUUAAUCCUGCAUUUUACCGUCGGCAAUUCCAUCGUUAUUAUUACUGUUAUUGUUAUUAUUAUUACUAUUGUUAUUACUUUUACUUACUAUUGUUAUUACGAUUUAUUUCGUAUACUUACGUUAUUGUUACUACUACUUACUUUGCUCUCGCAAACGUUCGUUGUUGUUACUUUUGGACCAGGUUAAGAGAAAUCGCACGCACAGCGGAACUGGACCGCUUAAGCCAGAAACAGUAAAGUAACAAUAGCCAAAUGCCUCGUCAUCUAAUUAGUGACGCGUAUGAAUGGAUCAACAAGAUUCCUUCUGUCCCUAUCUACUAUCUAGCGAAACCACAGCCAAGGGAACGGGCUUGGCAAAAUCAGCGGGGAAAGAAGACCCUGUUGAGCUUGACUCUAGUCUGACUCUGUGAA
This 627-nucleotide non-coding RNA is filed under the name Trichinella sp. T8. RNAcentral describes it as "Eukaryotic large subunit ribosomal RNA". It matches the Rfam family "Eukaryotic large subunit ribosomal RNA", at positions 1968 to 2445 of the family's 3401-position model. The record is from Rfam by way of RNAcentral. Lineage: Eukaryota; Metazoa; Nematoda; Enoplea; Trichinellida; Trichinellidae.